This 295-nucleotide small RNA is filed under the name Phascolarctos cinereus (koala). RNAcentral's name for it is "Metazoan signal recognition particle RNA (ENSPCIG00000008945.2)". Lineage: Eukaryota; Metazoa; Chordata; Mammalia; Diprotodontia; Phascolarctidae. The record is from RNAcentral.
GACAUGGUAGUAUAUUCCCGUAGUCUCUGCUUCUAGAGAGACUGAAGCUGGUGGAUAGUUUGAGUGUGGGAAAUAUGACAUGCAGUGAGAUAAAUUCCUUUAGAUGUCUGCACUAAGUCUAACACCAAUAUUGUGAGCCCCCAGGAGGAGGGGCCAUUAGACUGUUUAGGGAGAGAUGAAUCAACCAAGUUUGGAAAUGGAGUAGGUCAAAGCUUCUAUGCUAAUGAGUAGUGAGAUUGGGCCAUGAGUAGCUAUUGCAUUUCUAGCCUAAGCAAGAUAGGGAAACCCAGAAUCA